UGNUCUGUCACUGACGCUGAGGCUNGAAAGCGUGGGUAGCGAACAGGAUUAGAUACCCUGGUAGUCCACNCCGUAAACGAUGAGUGCUAGGUGUUAGGCCCUUUCCGGGGCUUAGUGCCGGAGCUAACGCAAUAAGCACUCCGCCUGGGGAGUACGACCGCAAGNUUGAAACUCAAAGGAAUUGACGGGGGCCCGCACAAGCGGUGGAGCAUGUGGUUUAAUUCGAAGCAACGCGAAGAACCUUACCAGGUCUUGACAUCCCGAUGCUAUUCUUAGAGAUAGGAAGUUACUUCGGUACAUCGGAGACAGGUGGUGCAUGGUUGUCGUCAGCUCGUGUCGUGAGAUGUUGGGUUAAGUCCCGCAACGAGCGCAACCCUUAUUGUUAGUUGCCAUCAUUAAGUUGGGCACUCUAGCGAGACUGCCGGUAAUAAACCGGAGGAAGGUGGGGAUGACGUCAAAUCAUCAUGCCCCUUAUGACCUGGGCUACACACGUGCUACAAUGGUCGGUACAACGAGUUGCGAGCCGGUGACGGCAAGCUAAUCUCUGAAAGCCGAUCUCAGUUCGGAUUGGAGGCUGCAGCUCGCCUCCAUGAAGUCGGAAUCGCUAGUAAUCGCGGAUCAGCACGCCGCGGUGAAUACGUUCCCGGGCCUUGUACACACCGCCCGUCACACCACGAGAGUUUGUAACACCNGAAGUCGGUGAGGUA
This 707-nucleotide ribosomal RNA is filed under the name uncultured bacterium. RNAcentral describes it as "bacterial SSU rRNA". It matches the Rfam family "Bacterial small subunit ribosomal RNA", at positions 730 to 1437 of the family's 1533-position model. The record is from RNAcentral.